This 478-nucleotide ribosomal RNA is filed under the name uncultured bacterium. RNAcentral's name for it is "partial 16S ribosomal RNA". It matches the Rfam family "Bacterial small subunit ribosomal RNA", at positions 28 to 523 of the family's 1533-position model. The record is from RNAcentral.
GAUGAACGCUGGCGGCGUGCUUAACACAUGCAAGUCGAACGGUAAGGCCCUUCGGGGUACACGAGUGGCGAACGGGUGAGUAACACGUGGGUGAUCUGCCCUGCACUUCGGGAUAAGCCUGGGAAACUGGGUCUAAUACCGGAUAGGACCACUGCCUGCAUGGGUGGUGGUGGAAAGCUUUUGCGGUGUGGGAUGGGCCCGCGGCCUAUCAGCUUGUUGGUGGGGUGAUGGCCUACCAAGGCGACGACGGGUAGCCGGCCUGAGAGGGUGACCGGCCACACUGGGACUGAGAUACGGCCCAGACUCCUACGGGAGGCAGCAGUGGGGAAUAUUGCACAAUGGGCGCAAGCCUGAUGCAGCGACGCCGCGUGAGGGGUGACGGCCUUCGGGUUGUAAACCUCUUUCAGCACCGACGAAGCGCAAGUGACGGUAGGUGCAGAAGAAGGACCGGCCAACUACGUGCCAGCCGCCGCAGUAA